Molecule: non-coding RNA, 74 nt
Organism: Parelaphostrongylus tenuis
Lineage: Eukaryota; Metazoa; Nematoda; Chromadorea; Rhabditida; Metastrongylidae
Source: the annotation of a GenBank genome assembly
GCGCCAGUAGUGCAGCGGGUUAGGCACGCGCUGCCGGAUAGAAUAAGAUGCGCGUUCGAGUCCCGCCUGACGCA